This 401-nucleotide ribosomal RNA is filed under the name uncultured bacterium. RNAcentral describes it as "bacterial SSU rRNA". It matches the Rfam family "Bacterial small subunit ribosomal RNA", at positions 356 to 773 of the family's 1533-position model. The record is from RNAcentral.
GGGGAAUCUUGCGCAAUGGGCGAAAGCCUGACGCAGCAACGCCGCGUGCGGGAUGAAGGCCUUCGGGUUGUAAACCGCUUUCAGCAGGGACGAAAUUGACGGUACCUGCAGAAGAAGCCCCGGCCAACUACGUGCCAGCAGCCGCGGUAACACGUAGGGGGCGAGCGUUGUCCGGAUUUAUUGGGCGUAAAGAGCUCGUAGGCGGCUCGGUAAGUCGGGUGUGAAACCUCCAGGCUCAACCUGGAGACGCCACCUGAUACUGCCGUGGCUAGAGUCCGGUAGGGGAGUGUGGAACUCCUGGUGUAGCGGUGAAAUGCGCAGAUAUCAGGAAGAACACCAGCGGCGAAGGCGGCACUCUGGGCCGGAACUGACGCUGAGGAGCGAAAGCGUGGGUAGCAAAC